GGUUAAGCGACUAAGCGUACACGGUGGAUGCCUAGGCAGUCAGAGGCGAUGAAGGGCGUGCUAAUCUGCGAUAAGCGUCGGUAAGCUGAUAUGAAGCGUUAUACCCGACGAUACCCGAAUGGGGAAACCCAGUGUGUUUCGACACACUAUCAUGGCAUGAAUACAUAGUGUCAUGAGGCGAACCGGGGGAACUGAAACAUCUCAGUACCCCGAGGAAAAGAAAUCAACCGAGAUUCCCCCAGUAGCGGCGAGCGAACGGGGAGGAGCCCAGAACCUGAAUCAGUUUGUGUGUUAGUGGAAGCGUCUGGAAAGUCGCACAGUAAAGGGUGAUAGUCCCGUACACAAAAAUGCACAAGUUGUGAGUUCGAUGAGUAGGGCGGGACACGUGACAUCCUGUCUGAAUAUGGGGGGACCAUCCUCCAAGGCUAAAUACUCCUGACUGACCGAUAGUGAACCAGUACCGUGAGGGAAAGGCGAAAAGAACCCCGGCGAGGGGAGUGAAAUAGAACCUGAAACCGUGUACGUACAAGCAGUGGGAGCCUACUUGUUAGGUGACUGCGUACCUUUUGUAUAAUGGGUCAGCGACUUAUAUUCUGUAGCAAGGUUAACCGUAUAGGGGAGCCGCAGGGAAACCGAGUCUUAACUGGGCGUUAAGUUGCAGGGUAUAGACCCGAAACCCGGUGAUCUAGCCAUGGGCAGGUUGAAGGUUGGGUAACACUAACUGGAGGACCGAACCGACUAAUGUUGAAAAAUUAGCGGAUGACUUGUGGCUGGGGGUGAAAGGCCAAUCAAACCGGGAGAUAGCUGGUUCUCCCCGAAAGCUAUUUAGGUAGCGCCUCGUGAAUUCAUCUUCGGGGGUAGAGCACUGUUUCGGCUAGGGGGUCAUCCCGACUUACCAACCCGAUGCAAACUACGAAUACCGAAGAAUGUUAUCACGGGAGACACACGGCGGGUGCUAACGUUCGUCGUGAAGAGGGAAACAACCCAGACCGCCAGCUAAGGUCCCAAAGUCAUGGUUAAGUGGGAAACGAUGUGGGAAGGCAUAGACAGCCAGGAUGUUGGCUUAGAAGCAGCCAUCAUUUAAAGAAAGCGUAAUAGCUCACUGGUCGAGUCGGCCUGCGCGGAAGAUGUAACGGGGCUAAACCAUGCACCGAAGCUGCGGCAGCGACACUUAGGUGUUGUUGGGUAGGGGAGCGUUCUGUAAGCCUGCGAAGGUGGCCUGUGAGGGCUGCUGGAGGUAUCAGAAGUGCGAAUGCUGACAUAAGUAACGAUAAUGCGGGUGAAAAACCCGCACGCCGGAAGACCAAGGGUUCCUGUCCAACGUUAAUCGGGGCAGGGUGAGUCGACCCCUAAGGCGAGGCUGAAAAGCGUAGUCGAUGGGAAACAGGUUAAUAUUCCUGUACUCGGUGUUACUGCGAAGGGGGGACGGAGAAAGCUAGGUUAUCCGGGCGACGGUUGUCCCGGUUUAAGCGUGAAGGUGGAUGGCUUUGGUAAAUCCGGGUCAUCGUUAACACUGAGGCGUGAUGACGAGUCACUACGGUGAUGAAGUAACCGAUGCUACGCUUCCAGGAAAAGCCUCUAAGCUCCAGGUAACAUCAAAUCGUACCCCAAACCGACACAGGUGGUCAGGUAGAGAAUACUCAGGCGCUUGAGAGAACUCGGGUGAAGGAACUAGGCAAAAUGGUGCCGUAACUUCGGGAGAAGGCACGCUGAUGGUAGGUGAAGUGACUUGCUCAUGGAGCUGAAAUCAGUCGAAGAUACCAGCUGGCUGCAACUGUUUAAUAAAAACACAGCACUGUGCAAACACGAAAGUGGACGUAUACGGUGUGACGCCUGCCCGGUGCCGGAAGGUUAAUUGAUGGGGUCAGCCGCAAGGCGAAGCUCUUGAUCGAAGCCCCGGUAAACGGCGGCCGUAACUAUAACGGUCCUAAGGUAGCGAAAUUCCUUGUCGGGUAAGUUCCGACCUGCACGAAUGGCGUAAUGAUGGCCAGGCUGUCUCCACCCGAGACUCAGUGAAAUUGAACUCGCUGUGAAGAUGCAGUGUACCCGCGGCAAGACGGAAAGACCCCGUGAACCUUUACUAUAGCUUGACACUGAACCUUGAGCCUUGAUGUGUAGGAUAGGUGGGAGGCUUUGAAGCGUGGACGCCAGUCUGCGUGGAGCCAACCUUGAAAUACCACCCUUUAAUGUUUGAUGUUCUAACGUGGACCCGUGAUCCGGGUUGCGGACAGUGUCUGGUGGGUAGUUUGACUGGGGCGGUCUCCUCCCAAAGCGUAACGGAGGAGCACGAAGGUUAGCUAAUCCUGGUCGGACAUCAGGAGGUUAGUGCAAAGGCAUAAGCUAGCUUGACUGCGAGAGUGACAGCUCGAGCAGGUGCGAAAGCAGGUCUUAGUGAUCCGGUGGUUCUGAAUGGAAGGGCCAUCGCUCAACGGAUAAAAGGUACUCCGGGGAUAACAGGCUGAUACCGCCCAAGAGUUCAUAUCGACGGCGGUGUUUGGCACCUCGAUGUCGGCUCAUCACAUCCUGGGGCUGAAGUAGGUCCCAAGGGUAUGGCUGUUCGCCAUUUAAAAGUGGUACGCGAGCUGGGUUUAGAACGUCGUGAGACAGUUCGGUCCCUAUCUGCCGUGGGCGUUGGAAGAUUGAGAGGGGUUGCUCCUAGUACGAGAGGACCGGAGUGAACGCACCACUGGUGUACGGGUUGUGAUGCCAAUUGCAUUGCCCGGUAGCUAAGUGCGGAAGAGAUAACCGCUGAAAGCAUCUAAGCGGGAAACUUGCCUCGAGAUGAGUCUUCCCUGGACACUUGAUGUCCCUGAAGGGCCGUUGAAGACGACGACGUAGAUAGGCUGGGUGUGUAAGCGUAGCGAUACGUUGAGCUAACCAGUACUAAUGACCCGAGAGGCUUAACCU
RNAcentral lists this ribosomal RNA (2907 nucleotides) under Pectobacterium carotovorum subsp. carotovorum PCC21. Its description in RNAcentral is "bacterial LSU rRNA". It matches the Rfam family "Bacterial large subunit ribosomal RNA". The record is from RNAcentral. Lineage: Bacteria; Pseudomonadati; Pseudomonadota; Gammaproteobacteria; Enterobacterales; Pectobacteriaceae.